CAUCCUCCAAGGCUAAAUACUCCUGACUGACCGAUAGUGAACCAGUACCGUGAGGGAAAGGCGAAAAGAACCCCGGCGAGGGGAGUGAAAAAGAACCUGAAACCGUGUACGUACAAGCAGUGGGAGCACGCUUCGGCGUGUGACUGCGUACCUUUUGUAUAAUGGGUCAGCGACUUAUAUUCUGUAGCAAGGUUAACCGAAUAGGGGAGCCGAAGGGAAACCGAGUCUUAACUGGGCGUUAAGUUGCAGGGUAUAGACCCGAAACCCGGUGAUCUAGCCAUGGGCAGGUUGAAGGUUGGGUAACACUAACUGGAGGACCGAACCGACUAAUGUUGAAAAAUUAGCGGAUGACUUGUGGCUGGGGGUGAAAGGCCAAUCAAACCGGGAGAUAGCUGGUUCUCCCCGAAAGCUAUUUAGGUAGCGCCUCGUGAAUUCAUCUCCGGGGGUAGAGCACUGUUUCGGCAAGGGGGUCAUCCCGACUUACCAACCCGAUGCAAACUGCGAAUACCGGAGAAUGUUAUUACGGGAGACACACGGCGGGUGCUAACGUCCGUCGUGAAGAGGGAAACAACCCAGACCGCCAGCUAAGGUCCCAAAGUCAUGGUUAAGUGGGAAACGAUGUGGGAAGGCCCAGACAGCCAGGAUGUUGGCUUAGAAGCAGCCAUCAUUUAAAGAAAGCGUAAUAGCUCACUGGUCGAGUCGGCCUGCGCGGAAGAUGUAACGGGGCUAAACCAUGCACCGAAGCUGCGGCAGCGACACUAUGUGUUGUUGGGUAGGGGAGCGUUCUGUAAGCCUGUGAAGGUGUGCUGUGAGGCAUGCUGGAGGUAUCAGAAGUGCGAAUGCUGACAUAAGUAACGAUAAAGCGGGUGAAAAGCCCGCUCGCCGGAAGACCAAGGGUUCCUGUCCAACGUUAAUCGGGGCAGGGUGAGUCGACCCCUAAGG
RNAcentral lists this ribosomal RNA (942 nucleotides) under Escherichia coli. RNAcentral's name for it is "partial 23S ribosomal RNA". It matches the Rfam family "Bacterial large subunit ribosomal RNA", at positions 454 to 1396 of the family's 2925-position model. Lineage: Bacteria; Pseudomonadati; Pseudomonadota; Gammaproteobacteria; Enterobacterales; Enterobacteriaceae. The record is from RNAcentral.